RNAcentral lists this ribosomal RNA (466 nucleotides) under Vreelandella stevensii. Its description in RNAcentral is "partial 16S ribosomal RNA". It matches the Rfam family "Bacterial small subunit ribosomal RNA", at positions 338 to 795 of the family's 1533-position model. The record is from RNAcentral. Lineage: Bacteria; Pseudomonadati; Pseudomonadota; Gammaproteobacteria; Oceanospirillales; Halomonadaceae.
CCUACGGGGUGCAGCAGUGGGGAAUAUUGGACAAUGGGCGAAAGCCUGAUCCAGCCAUGCCGCGUGUGUGAAGAAGGCCUUCGGGUUGUAAAGCACUUUCAGUGGGGAAGAAAGCCUUGGGGCUAAUACCCUCGAGGAAGGACAUCACCCACAGAAGAAGCACCGGCUAACUCCGUGCCAGCAGCCGCGGUAAUACGGAGGGUGCGAGCGUUAAUCGGAAUUACUGGGCGUAAAGCGCGCGUAGGCGGUCUGAUAAGCCGGUUGUGAAAGCCCCGGGCUCAACCUGGGAACGGCAUCCGGAACUGUCAGGCUAGAGUGCAGGAGAGGAAGGUAGAAUUCCCGGUGUAGCGGUGAAAUGCGUAGAGAUCGGGAGGAAUACCAGUGGCGAAGGCGGCCUUCUGGACUGACACUGACGCUGAGGUGCGAAAGCGUGGGUAGCAAACAGGAUUAGAUACCCCGAGUAGUC